This 253-nucleotide ribosomal RNA is filed under the name uncultured Rikenellaceae bacterium. Its description in RNAcentral is "partial 16S ribosomal RNA". It matches the Rfam family "Bacterial small subunit ribosomal RNA", at positions 524 to 776 of the family's 1533-position model. The record is from RNAcentral. Lineage: Bacteria; Pseudomonadati; Bacteroidota; Bacteroidia; Bacteroidales; Rikenellaceae.
UACGGAGGAUUCAAGCGUUAUCCGGAUUUAUUGGGUUUAAAGGGUGCGUAGGCGGUUUGAUAAGUUAGAGGUGAAAUGUCGGGGCUCAACCCCGAAACUGCCUCUAAUACUGUUGGACUAGAGAAUAGUUGCGGUAGGCGGAAUGCGCGGUGUAGCGGUGAAAUGCUUAGAUAUCGCGCAGAACCCCGAUUGCGAAGGCAGCGUACCGGCUCCACACUGACGCUGAGGCACGAAAGCGUGGGUAUCGAACAGG